RNAcentral lists this ribosomal RNA (1020 nucleotides) under Alternaria citri. RNAcentral describes it as "SSU rRNA". It matches the Rfam family "Eukaryotic small subunit ribosomal RNA", at positions 75 to 1104 of the family's 1831-position model. Lineage: Eukaryota; Fungi; Ascomycota; Dothideomycetes; Pleosporales; Pleosporaceae. The record is from RNAcentral.
UAUACCGUGAAACUGCGAAUGGCUCAUUAAAUCAGUUAUCGUUUAUUUGAUAAUACCUUACUACUUGGAUAACCGUGGUAAUUCUAGAGCUAAUACAUGCUGAAAAUCCCGACUUCGGAAGGGAUGUGUUUAUUAGAUAAAAAACCAAUGCCCUUCGGGGCUUUUUGGUGAUUCAUGAUAACUUUACGGAUCGCAUAGCCUUGCGCUGGCGACGGUUCAUUCAAAUUUCUGCCCUAUCAACUUUCGAUGGUAAGGUAUUGGCUUACCAUGGUUUCAACGGGUAACGGGGAAUUAGGGUUCGAUUCCGGAGAGGGAGCCUGAGAAACGGCUACCACAUCCAAGGAAGGCAGCAGGCGCGCAAAUUACCCAAUCCCGACACGGGGAGGUAGUGACAAUAAAUACUGAUACAGGGCUCUUUUGGGUCUUGUAAUUGGAAUGAGUACAAUUUAAACCUCUUAACGAGGAACAAUUGGAGGGCAAGUCUGGUGCCAGCAGCCGCGGUAAUUCCAGCUCCAAUAGCGUAUAUUAAAGUUGUUGCAGUUAAAAAGCUCGUAGUUGAAACUUGGGCCUGGCUGGCGGGUCCGCCUCACCGCGUGCACUCGUCCGGCCGGGCCUUCCUUCUGAAGAACCUCAUGCCCUUCACUGGGCGUGCUGGGGAAUCAGGACUUUUACUUUGAAAAAAUUAGAGUGUUCAAAGCAGGCCUUUGCUCGAAUACGUUAGCAUGGAAUAAUAAAAUAGGGCGUGCGUUUCUAUUUUGUUGGUUUCUAGAGACGCCGCAAUGAUUAACAGGAACAGUCGGGGGCAUCAGUAUUCAGUUGUCAGAGGUGAAAUUCUUGGAUUUACUGAAGACUAACUACUGCGAAAGCAUUUGCCAAGGAUGUUUUCAUUAAUCAGUGAACGAAAGUUAGGGGAUCGAAGACGAUCAGAUACCGUCGUAGUCUUAACCGUAAACUAUGCCGACUAGGGAUCGGGCGAUGUUUUUUUUCUGACUCGCUCGGCACCUUACGAGAAAUCAAAGU